This 1443-nucleotide ribosomal RNA is filed under the name metagenome. Its description in RNAcentral is "bacterial SSU rRNA". It matches the Rfam family "Bacterial small subunit ribosomal RNA". The record is from RNAcentral.
AGAGUUUGAUCCUGGCUCAGGAUGAACGCUGGCGGCGUGCUUAACACAUGCAAGUCGAACGAUCCUUCGGGAUAGUGGCGGACGGGUGAGUAACGCGUGGGAAUCUGCCCUCAGGAGGGGGAUAACGGCUGGAAACGGCCGCUAAUACCCCAUAUGCCGAGAGGUGAAAUGAAUUUCGCCUGAGGAUGAGCCCGCGUCUGAUUAGCUAGUUGGUGGGGUAAAGGCCUACCAAGGCAACGAUCAGUAGCUGGUCUGAGAGGAUGAUCAGCCACACUGGGACUGAGACACGGCCCAGGCUCCUACGGGAGGCAGCAGUGGGGAAUUUUCCGCAAUGGGCGAAAGCCUGACGGAGCAACGCCGCGUGAGGGAUGAAGGCCUCUGGGCUGUAAACCUCUUUUCUCAAGGAAGAAGACCUGACGGUACUUGAGGAAUAAGCCACGGCUAAUUCCGUGCCAGCAGCCGCGGUAAUACGGGAGUGGCAAGCGUUAUCCGGAAUUAUGGGGCGUAAAGCGUCCGCAGGCGGCCUUGUAAGUCUGUUGUUAAAGCGUGGAGCUCAACUCCAUUUAAGCAAUGGAAACUACAAGGCUGGAGUGUGGUAGGGGCAGAGGGAAUUCCCGGUGUAGCGGUGAAAUGCGUAGAUAUCGGGAAGAACACCAGUGGCGAAGGCGCUCUGCUGGGCCAUAACUGACGCUCAUGGACGAAAGCCAGGGGAGCGAAAGGGAUUAGAUACCCCUGUAGUCCUGGCCGUAAACGAUGAACACUAGGUGUCGGGGGAAUCGACCCCCUCGGUGUCGUAGCCAACGCGUUAAGUGUUCCGCCUGGGGAGUACGCACGCAAGUGUGAAACUCAAAGGAAUUGACGGGGGCCCGCACAAGCGGUGGAGUAUGUGGUUUAAUUCGAUGCAACGCGAAGAACCUUACCAGGGUUUGACAUCCUGCGAACCCCUGAGAAAUCGGGGGGUGCCUUCGGGAGCGCAGAGACAGGUGGUGCAUGGCUGUCGUCAGCUCGUGUCGUGAGAUGUUGGGUUAAGUCCCGCAACGAGCGCAACCCACGUCUUUAGUUGCCAGCAUUCAGUUGGGCACUCUAGGGAGACCGCCGGUGAUAAACCGGAGGAAGGUGUGGAUGACGUCAAGUCAUCAUGCCCCUUACAUCCUGGGCUACACACGUACUACAAUGCUACGGACAAAGGGCAGCAAGCUCGCGAGAGUUAGCAAAUCCCAUAAACCGUGGCUCAGUUCAGAUCGUAGGCUGCAACUCGCCUACGUGAAGGAGGAAUCGCUAGUAAUCGCAGGUCAGCAUACUGCGGUGAAUACGUUCCCGGGCCUUGUACACACCGCCCGUCACACCAUGGAAGUUGGCCAUGCCCGAAGUCGUUACUCCAACCCUUGUGGAGGAGGACGCCGAAGGUGGGGCUGGUGACUGGGGUGAAGUCGUAACAAGGUA